Molecule: ribosomal RNA, 253 nt
Filed under: uncultured bacterium
Lineage: Bacteria
Description: partial 16S ribosomal RNA
Rfam family: Bacterial small subunit ribosomal RNA
Source: RNAcentral
UACGGGGGGGGUAAGCGUUGUUCGGAUUUACUGGGCGUAAAGGGCGCGCAGGCGGUCGGACAAGUCGCGUGUGAAAGCCCCCGGCUCAACUGGGGAGGGUCACGCGAUACUGUUCGACUCGAAGGCAGGAGAGGGAAGUGGAAUUCCCGGUGUAGUGGUGAAAUGCGUAGAUAUCGGGAGGAACACCAGUGGCGAAGGCGACUUCCUGGCCUGUUCUUGACGCUGAGGCGCGAAAGCUAGGGUAGCAAACGGG